Long non-coding RNA from Mastomys coucha (southern multimammate mouse), 611 nucleotides. RefSeq lists it as uncharacterized. The transcript has 3 exons. The record is from RefSeq and is a predicted model, not a curated record. Lineage: Eukaryota; Metazoa; Chordata; Mammalia; Rodentia; Muridae.
GCCCAAUUCAGAAGAGUCUCCAGCUGCUGCCUUCAGCAGGGCAGGACUCUGGGCUCUUCCAGCACCACGUUUGCCUGGACACUACCAUGCUUCUCACCAUGAUGAUAAGGAACUGAACCUCUGAAACUAGAAUUGAGUUCCCUGAGAUGGCAGAAGAGAGAGAGGAAGCACCUGCCCGUCAUCAGCCCAGGAGAGGUACGGGGACUGGUAGGCCUGCCCAGUUUGCUGAAGGUCUUCUUGUGAAGAUACGACCACCAGUCAAGAGGGUAUCAGACAAAAUGGGCUUUAGCCACUCCUCCUUUGUUCCUGAAGAAGUAGAGAGACCAUAACUGUAGAGAACCCAGCUCCAGAGACUACAAGAUGGUUCAGUAGGUAUUCCAUACUGCCCUCUGAUGCCCAUCUCUUCCAGAAUGGAGAAAAACUGACUCCAUGAGUUCCUUAACUAAAGGAACCAGCAGAAGUCCCUAUUCCAGGACACAACCAAUGACUUCCAAAAUGGAUGAGAUCCAUCCAUCCUGCAAGCACCUUCAUCCCUUCCUCAUGGGAGCCAGGACGUACUGUCUGGAUAAACACACAACCAACAGUCAUUAGAACUUGUUUAUCUUUGGGGA